CCUACGGGUGGCAGCAGUGAGGAAUAUUGGUCAAUGGGCGCGAGCCUGAACCAGCCAAGUAGCGUGAAGGAUGACUGCCCUACGGGUUGUAAACUUCUUUUAUAAAGGAAUAAAGUGAGGCACGUGUGCCUUUUUGUAUGUACUUUAUGAAUAAGGAUCGGCUAACUCCGUGCCAGCAGCCGCGGUAAUACGGAGGGGCCGAGCGUUAUCCGGAUUGAUUGGGUUUAAAGGGAGCGUAGGUGGGUUGUUAAGUCAGUUGUGAAAGUUUGCGGCUCAACCGUAAUAUUGCAAUUGAUACUGGAAGUCUAGAGUACAGUAGAGGAUGGCAGAAUGCGUGGUGUAGCGGUGAAAUGAGUAGAUAUCACGAGGAACACCGAUAGCGAAGGCAGCUAACU
This 395-nucleotide ribosomal RNA is filed under the name uncultured bacterium. RNAcentral describes it as "partial 16S ribosomal RNA". It matches the Rfam family "Bacterial small subunit ribosomal RNA", at positions 338 to 730 of the family's 1533-position model. The record is from RNAcentral.